Microtus oregoni (creeping vole) is the source of this 561-nucleotide long non-coding RNA. RefSeq lists it as uncharacterized. The record is from RefSeq and is a predicted model, not a curated record. The transcript is spliced from 4 exons. Lineage: Eukaryota; Metazoa; Chordata; Mammalia; Rodentia; Cricetidae.
ACAAGAAGCUGACAUGAGCCCUUGUUUCCAGUAUGUGAGUCAUCAUUGCCACCAAUGGUCUGGGUCAUUGGCUGUGCACACACAUCCACAGACAGUACAACAACAGCCUCUAGUCCCUUGUUGCUGACCUUUGGGAAGCUGGGCAUGUAAGGCCAUACAUGAUCUACAGUGUACUUGUAGAGGUCAGAGGACAACUUGCAGGAGUCAUUUCUCUGCUUCCACAAUGUGAGUCCUGGGGAUCCAACUGAAGUCAUCAGAAGCAGUACUCGGGCUUCUAUUACACUUUAAUACGAUCUACAUAUAAGUAGAACAGGGGAGAAAACAGUGAACUUUCCAUGCAGAACCAACUCCUGGAGAAGAACCAAGUGUGGUGUGGUCUGGUCAGCCUGUUACCUAAGCAAGAGUGACAAGAUCAUGUGGGACUCACCAGGUGAGUCAUUUCCUUUUCUCUUCCCAUCCGUGUGACCAGCAGCUGGUCUGUGAUGCCUUGUAGGAACACAUCCUGUUGAGCAGGUAGCAGCAAGAGCAGCACACUGUAGAACAAUGACAUUCAUAGACUCC